This 32-nucleotide small RNA is filed under the name Arabidopsis thaliana (thale cress). RNAcentral describes it as "ATSL231970". Lineage: Eukaryota; Viridiplantae; Streptophyta; Magnoliopsida; Brassicales; Brassicaceae. The record is from RNAcentral.
CAGUUGAAGUGCUAUUUUUUGGAUUUUUUUUU